Molecule: ribosomal RNA, 1102 nt
Filed under: Thrips setosus
Lineage: Eukaryota; Metazoa; Arthropoda; Insecta; Thysanoptera; Thripidae
Description: 16S ribosomal RNA
Rfam family: Archaeal large subunit ribosomal RNA (bases 710-1042)
Source: RNAcentral
AAAUUAUUCUUUUAGUUAAAGUAAUUUCAAAACAAAUCAUUUUUUAAAGUAAUUAAAAAGAAUAAAAGAAAAAAAAAGAAAUAGUAAAACUUUGUUCCUUGUGUAUCAUGAUACAUAGAAAUAGAAUAAUAAUUUUUCAUCUCGAAAAGAAAAGAACUAGAAAUCAUUUUGCUUAAUGUUACAUAAUUAUUAAUAAAGAAAUCUAGAAAUAAAAGAUUUUCAUUUUUCUUGAUAUCUAGUUAUUUUAGAAAGAAAUUCAAUUUCAAUUAUUUUCAUAAAGAAAAUGAAUCAAAUUUUUAAGGGAUUAUCUUUAAAAACUAUAUUAAUUUAAAGAUAACAAAAAAAAAAGGAAUUAAAUUAACCAAAAAAUCUAACAAUUACAAUUUUUUAAAAUAAAUUUUAUAUUAAUUAAGAUUAUAUAAAAUUUUUAAAACAAAGGCAAAAAAAAAUUAUUAUGUAAUUAGUAAAUCUUAAAAAAAAAACUUAGGAACUCGGCAAAUAAAAUUAUCCGAAUGUUUAACAAAAACAUUGUUUCUAGAAAUUAUUAGAAAUAAAACCUGCUCAGUGAAAUUUAAACAGCCUUUUUUAGCUAAGGUAGCAUAAUAACUUGUCUUUUAAUUUAAGGCUAGAAUGAAAGGUCAAACGAGAUAAAAACUUUCUUAAUUAUAUAAAUUUAAUUUUUCCUUUAAGUUAAAAGACUUAAAUAUAUUUAAAGGACGACAAGACCCUAUAGAACUUAAAAUUUUCCUCAAAUAUAAAAAAAGAAAAAAUUUUACUGGGGAAGUAAAAAAAUAAAAAUUUUUUUUAAAAAAAACUAUUAGAAGAAUUAAAGAUCCUCACUAGAGAAAGAAGAAAAAGUUACCUUAGGGAUAACAGAGUUAAGUUUUUUGAGAGAUCAAAUCGAAAAAAAAUAUUGCUACCUCGAUGUUGAAUUAAGAUAAAUAAUAAUAGAAGAAAAUUAUUUUAUUAGGUCUGUUCGACCUUAAAAUCUUACAUGAUUUGAGUUAAGACCGGCGUAAGCCAGGUUGGUUUCUAUCCUUAAGUCAACAACUUUUUUUAGUACGAAAGGACCAAAAAAGAUAAAUUAUUUAAAUACAAAUCA